UCGCCCUGUUUUUCAAAAACAUGUCUUAUGGUGUAUUUUUAUUAAGUCUAGCCUGCUCAAUGAUUUCUAUUAUAUAGAAUUAAAUGGCCGCAGUAUUUUGACUGUGCGAAGGUAGCAUAAUCAUUUGUCUUUUAAUUGAAGGCUUGUAUGAAUGGUUGGAUGAGGGAAUAACUUUCUUUAUAUUAAAUAUUGAAUUUAAUAUUUCAGUUAAAAAGCUGAGAUUUUUAAGUGGGACGAGAAGACCCUAUAGAAUUUUACUUACAGUUACUUUAAGUGUUGUUAUUGAUAAGAUCAAAUACUUACAUAUAUAUUAAGUUUUGUUGGGGUGACAAUGAGAUUUAUUUAACUCUCAAAAAUUUAUUUUAUUAAUUUAUAUAUUUUAGAUCCUAUUAUACGGAUAAUUAGAUUAAAUUACCUUAGGGAUAACAGCGUAAUUUUUUUGAAGAGUUCUUAUCAAUAAAAAAGUUUGCGACCUCGAUGUUGGAUUAAAAUUAGAUUUAAGUGCAGAAGCUUAAUGUCUAGGUCUGUUCGACCUUUAAAAUUUUACAUGAUUGGUUUUUAACCCGG
This 567-nucleotide ribosomal RNA is filed under the name Picromerus bidens. RNAcentral's name for it is "partial large subunit ribosomal RNA". It matches the Rfam family "Archaeal large subunit ribosomal RNA", at positions 1885 to 2688 of the family's 2987-position model. Lineage: Eukaryota; Metazoa; Arthropoda; Insecta; Hemiptera; Pentatomidae. The record is from RNAcentral.